RNAcentral lists this ribosomal RNA (254 nucleotides) under uncultured bacterium. Its description in RNAcentral is "partial 16S ribosomal RNA". It matches the Rfam family "Bacterial small subunit ribosomal RNA", at positions 524 to 776 of the family's 1533-position model. The record is from RNAcentral.
UGCGGAGGGUGCAAGCGUUUGUCCGGAUUUAUUGGGUUUAAAGGGUGCGUAGGCGGCUCUUUAAGUCAGUGGUGAAAUCCUACAGCUUAACUGUAGAACAGCCAUUGAUACUGAAGAGCUUGAGUACAGACGAGGUAGGCGGAAUUUAUGGUGUAGCGGUGAAAUGCAUAGAUACCAUAAAGAACUCCUAUUGCGAAGGCAGCUUACUAGGCUGUAACUGACGCUGAGGCACGAAAGCGUGGGGAUCAAACAGG